RNAcentral lists this ribosomal RNA (480 nucleotides) under uncultured bacterium. Its description in RNAcentral is "bacterial SSU rRNA". It matches the Rfam family "Bacterial small subunit ribosomal RNA", at positions 30 to 506 of the family's 1533-position model. The record is from RNAcentral.
UUGAACGCUGGCGGCAUGCCUUACACAUGCAAGUCGAACGGUAACAGGUCUUCGGAUGCUGACGAGUGGCGAACGGGUGAGUAAUACAUCGGAACGUGCCCGAUCGUGGGGGAUAACGGAGCGAAAGCUUUGCUAAUACCGCAUACGAUCUACGGAUGAAAGCGGGGGAUCGCAAGACCUCGCGCGAUUGGAGCGGCCGAUAUCAGAUUAGCUAGUUGGUGGGGUAAAAGCCCACCAAGGCGACGAUCUGUAGCUGGUCUGAGAGGACGACCAGCCACACUGGAACUGAGACACGGUCCAGACUCCUACGGGAGGCAGCAGUGGGGAAUUUUGGACAAUGGGCGAAAGCCUGAUCCAGCAAUGCCGCGUGCAGGACGAAGGCCUUCGGGUUGUAAACUGCUUUUGUACGGAACGAAACGGUCUCUUCUAAUAAAGGGGGCUAAUGACGGUACCGUAAGAAUAAGCACCGGCUAACUACGU